Long non-coding RNA from Mauremys mutica (yellowpond turtle), 573 nucleotides. RefSeq lists it as uncharacterized. The transcript is spliced from 3 exons. The record is from RefSeq and is a predicted model, not a curated record. NCBI's taxonomy places the organism in Eukaryota, Metazoa, Chordata, Testudines, Geoemydidae.
GGGUCAGGCGGCGACCCGGAAGUAUAAAGGCUGGCCGGCAGAGCUCAGCAGGGGGCCAGCCGCCGCAGGGAGUGCCGCAGGGAGCUCGAGACUGGGAAACCUCAGAGACCCAGUUCAGCUGCCCAGACUGGCCGGAGCUUCCCCUGCCCAUUACCCAGGGGAGCCCCCGGAGCUUCCCCACCCCUGCUGCUACCCGGAGGAGCCGCCGAAGCACGCCUGGCCAGACUUCCCUGAGUUACUGCCAGACCUGCCACCAAGCCCUGGCCGCGAGGAGCCCAUGCUGGUGGACUGGCCGGGGACCGACGCCACGGACAAGAACAUGAUGGUGCUGAGAGACCUGAAUCAGGGUGGGGGUCUGCAGCCCAUCCGGAAUGUGCCGAGACCCUUGUUUCCUCUGGCUGAUCGGUGACGGUGCUGACACCACAAUCACAGUCCUGACCCACUGCAGCUAUGACAGCAACUCCAAAGACAAAAGGGACAAGACCACAGACACACCAAAGAAAUGGUAGGAAAAGAGAAGGGAAGAAAAAGCCCUGGAGAAAGGAUGGAGACACACUGCAUGCAUGCCCCCGC